Molecule: long non-coding RNA, 609 nt
Organism: Entelurus aequoreus (snake pipefish)
Lineage: Eukaryota; Metazoa; Chordata; Actinopteri; Syngnathiformes; Syngnathidae
Exons: 3
Source: RefSeq, a predicted model, not a curated record
GGAACAUACACCGCCUGGAGCCACAAGGUCUCCCGACCCGUGCUCCGUGCCAAUUAACCUGUGAUGAUGAGCCUUGUGGAUGAUUGAUUAGCACGAAAGGACACACCAUGCACUCAGUGCUAUCAACUUCACCUUUAGUUCCUGAGGAGGACAAAGAUGAAGAAUCCGUGGCUGAGUCUGCAUCCACCUCAUCAAGGCAGCUUGAGUCCACACCACUUACCAGUGCUGAUGCAACAGAAGGUUGGAGGUAUGUUCAUUUGUUUUGUUUUAUUUGCUAAUUUUUUUCAUUCAUUUUAUUGACUAUUUAUUUUCUGUGUCUAAAUUGUAAAUGUUUUGUAUUUUGUGAAUGCUCUUUGCAUAUUUUGUAUUAUAUUUUGUAUACAUACUUGUUCAAGUUACCGUAUUUUUCGGACUAUAAGUCGCAGUUUUUUUCAUAGUUUGGCCGGGGGUGCGACUUAUACUCAGGAGCGACUUAUGUGUGAAAGUAUUAACACAUUACCGUAAAAUAUCAAAUAAUAUUAUUUAGCUCAGAGACUAGACGUAUAAGAUUUCAUGGGAUUUAGCGAUUAGGAGUGACAGAUUGUUUGGUAAACGUAUAGCAUGUUCUAU